GGCUGGUCCGAUGGUAGUGGGUUAUCAGAACUUAUUAACAUUAGUGUCACUAAAGUUGGUAUUCAACCCCCCACUGCCAAAUUUGACUGGAUUUAA
Unclassified non-coding RNA from Microcebus murinus (gray mouse lemur), 96 nucleotides. It matches the Rfam family "Y RNA". Rfam says of the family: Y RNAs are components of the Ro ribonucleoprotein particle (Ro RNP), in association with Ro60 and La proteins. The Y RNAs and Ro60 and La proteins are well conserved, but the function of the Ro RNP is not known. In humans the RNA component can be one of four small RNAs -- hY1, hY3, hY4 and hY5. The record is from Ensembl. Lineage: Eukaryota; Metazoa; Chordata; Mammalia; Primates; Cheirogaleidae.